Molecule: long non-coding RNA, 616 nt
Organism: Ornithorhynchus anatinus (platypus)
Lineage: Eukaryota; Metazoa; Chordata; Mammalia; Monotremata; Ornithorhynchidae
Exons: 2
Source: RefSeq, a predicted model, not a curated record
CCAGGCGUCAGCCUUCUGAGUCGAGAACCCGUGUCCGGCAGAGGAGUCCAAGGCUGGUGACUUACUCGGAGCCACUCUCUCUCUCUCGUCCCCACUCAUCGUGUUCCCGCCAGGACCCAGAACGCAACGAGCAACCUACAGGCCUGUUGGCCACACGACGGAUUCUUCAAGGAUGAAGAGUUGCUAUAGCAACCUUCCCUUCGCAUGACACAGGCUGUAUUUUCUCAUUUGGAAUAUCAAGUCUGGCCUAUAACCGAAUUUCAUCGGACCCACUCCGUAUAGUUUGUUUUUAAGCUCGUCCUAGGAAAACGUUGCUUGGGUCUGGGAAGGGAAGGAGGAAGUGAGGCCCAGUUGACCAUUAAUGGCAAUUAGUGAAAAUCUGGUGUCUUUUCCCCACAGAUGUUUAAUAAAGAGGCACAUUUAGAUUUUCUGAGAUUGGCCAUAACUGCAUAUCACACCAGGAUAAUCGGAUACGGAACCUGCCUUUGGGGAAACCUUUUUGGAGAUAUGGACCGAGAUGCGUGUACAAACGCAUCUACACGCUAACCAUUGGUAUUCUUUUAGAUGUUGGAGUAAUAAAGGACACAGUCCCACCCUCCUGCACACUCUUACAUAA